GUGCUCACUUCAGCAGCGCAUGUACUGAAAUUGGAACGAUAUAGAGAAGAUUGGCAUGGCCCCUGUGCAAGAAUGAUACACAAAUUUGUGAAGCAUUCAACUUGUCC
Small nuclear RNA from Trichechus manatus latirostris (Florida manatee), 107 nucleotides. The record is from RefSeq and is a predicted model, not a curated record. Lineage: Eukaryota; Metazoa; Chordata; Mammalia; Sirenia; Trichechidae.